Long non-coding RNA from Solanum stenotomum, 772 nucleotides. RefSeq lists it as uncharacterized. The record is from RefSeq and is a predicted model, not a curated record. NCBI's taxonomy places the organism in Eukaryota, Viridiplantae, Streptophyta, Magnoliopsida, Solanales, Solanaceae. The transcript is spliced from 3 exons.
CCAAAUUUUCCUCCUAUGUUUGAUUAGAUUAUUAUUCUACUAUAAUAGAAGCAUGAGAAGCAGCUUAGUAUCAACAUGUUAGCUUCUUGGAAAUAAAUUCUCACCUAAGGCAAUCUGUGGAUGACUUUGUUUCCUGAUAGCUGUUCAUCAACAUGCUUGCUUCCUAGACAAGGAUACUUUGAAUAUGUGAAUUCAUUGACAAAGGAGGCAAAUGUCUUAUCAUGAUGGAUGAUGCUUGGAUGACAGACGUUGUGGAUUCCGUCAUGAAUGUUUUCCCCAGAGACAGAAAAGGCCACCGAAUCAUGAUCACCACUCGUGACUGAUGGACGUGUUAGUAUAUAUGACAAUGCUUUCGAAAGUUUCCAAUUAUAUUGUUGGAAAACAGAGUUUUGUGCACGUUAAUAACAAAAAAAAUCACUUAGGAAGGUGAAGUUUGAGGAGUUAGCUGAUGGUGGUUUCAUCUCUGAGGUGACUGACGAACACAUACGCUAUACUGUCGGAGAUUUCAAGCUACUGCCAUCAAGAUACAAAAUUCACAUGGGAUAUAUGUGCAAUGCACGUGUCCUGAAACUAGUUAUAGAAAAUAAAAGGGGAAAACAACCACCAAGUUACAAAAGCAAGUGAUGAUAUUUAUAUAGGGCAUCACAGUGGAAGAGCAUCUGAAACAUACUGGAAAAAGAGAAUCAAGGCAUAAUCCUUCCCUUCCCAGUAGGAAUGAGUCGUCUAUGUCGAACAAUAAGAAAAACCUUAUUAAUCAGUAGUAGUGUCACAA